CAUCACCAGGGGCUGUGAAUCGGGGAAAAUGGGGAGAUGCUGGCCAAAGGGAUGAAGUUCUGGGGCUCUAAUGUAUAGCCUGCUGACUGUAGUUAACAACAGUGAAUUGUAUUUUCAAAUUCCUAAAAUUUGCUAAAAGACUAGAUCUUAAGUGUCCUCACCAAAAAAAAGAGAAAGAAUAAAAGGAAAAAACAGAAUAACUAUGUGAGAGGAUAGAUGUACGAAGUAACUUGUGCUAAUCAUUUCACAAUGUAUGUGUAUAUCAAGUCACCACACUGUACGCUUUGAAUGUAUCUAGCUUUAUUUGCGAAUUAUACCUCAAUAAAUCCAGGGGUUUAAAAAGUCAUGUGCAACACAGGACAGUUCUUCGUCAUGUGAGGUUAUAUCUGAGGGACCCCAGUACCCUGGUGAGAACCAAACCUAUCUAGAACUGUAAACAUGUGGGCGAGGAAACUGAGGCUCAGAGAAAGGAGGUGGCUUGCUUGACAGAUUAAUUUGCUGAGGUCCCAUCUUGAUGCAGGAUGUUCCUUGGGUCCUUACGGUUUAAAUCAAAUUGUUAAUGAUUCAGUUCCUCUCAUUUCCUUCUUCUCCUCUCUGGGUAUGUAUUCUCUUUUCCUUUGGCUCUGACAGAAUAUAUCUGAAAUGAUACACAUGUUGAAAUUUAACAGUCCUGCAAUUAAAUAUGCUAAAUCUUGAGUAGAUUUCCUUGCUGUGGGAUGUCGCAGAUGGUUUAUAUCUUACACGGAAGUGAAUGUAUUACCAAUUUAUACUGCUCAAAGAUUUUAUGGAUGCCCUGAAUUGACUGCUGCUUGUUUCCAAAUCUUUGUGCUGGCAGGAUGCAGAUCGAGAGCAUCACAGAGGCAUCAGGUGGAUGUGGAUUUGCGUCCUUGCUUUAUCAUCUCCCAGCUCUGAGACCUUAGGGCAGGGCGUUAAUCUCUUUGAACAGCAUUUGCAUCAUUUGUUUAAAUGAAUAGAGUGACGACUUCCAGUCACUCUCACUUUCCUGAGCAGGCUGUGAUGCUUCGCACUGCUGAGCCCCUCUGCCUGGCAUUCCUGCCCACCAUUGUCCUGAAGAAGUCCUACUUGCCUUUCAAAGCCCUGCAUGAUGCACACUUCUGUGUGAGAAUUCUCCUGACCACCUCCUCAGGAGGGUCCUCCUUGCUUUGGGCUUCCCUAGAAUUUUGUACAGGCCUCUCUUUAACCCUUAUCUGUCAUGUUGAAAUGAGCUCUUUACUGCUCCGUCUCCUCCACUCGAGAAUGACUCUGUCUUACUCAUCUUUGUAUCCUCAGAGCCUAACUUGGGGCCAGCUCAGAGUGAGGCCUCAAUUACGUUGUAUUGAUGGUCCGUAUCGGCCACUCUUGUCAUCACUUUCUCUCCUUCCUGGCCUCCCGAGGCAUUUGUGGCCCAGAACGAUACCAUUCAUGAUGGCACGAAGUCAUCUUCCUCCUGGUAAUGAUUGCUCUUGAAUGGUCUCUGGAUAUGAGUCUGGGCUUCUCAGCGUGACUGAAUUCCAUAAGAGCCGGACACUCUUGUAUUUCUUUCUGCACAGUGCUUGGACACAUGGUAAGUUGUUCACUCCCAAAGUAUGACUUUGAAUGGCACUGUGCUAUUGGGAUGUCACUGUUUCAUUAGCACUGUGGAUAGCAAUUUGCCAGAAAAACAGGAAUCUGUGCUUUGGCAGAAAUGAUCUCGCCCAGGCUAGGGGGGUUCUCUCUUCCACUCAGCUGGUGACAAUGGAUUUUAUCAUUACAAAUGAGCCCUGGCACAAUGGACCGUGUUGGGUAUUUGAACUCUCGCCCAGUGUCGAUUCCAUGUGGUAGGUGUGACCAUCCCAAUUUUCCACCCUAAUUAUAUAAGCAAGUAUUCCAGAUGUUUUGGAGAUUGAUAUGGCCCCCAAAGAUAUUAGGAUGUAUAGUACACCAUUGAGAGGCCAGACCAUAGAGCUCUUGAGGGAUUGGAACAUCUAAUGAGUGAGUGGUUUUACAGAUUUUUUGAAUCGGGGCAUCAAAAGGCAUUCCAAAUUGUUAUGCACUUACAAAUAUUUACAGAUCUUUUAAAGAUCAAGUUUGUCGUUAUCGGGUUCGGUGCUGUAUCUUGUCAAUAGCCACAGUGACCCCAGAGGAGCCUGUGCUGGCAGGAGUAAUGCUGUGGCAUGUUCAGCUCUGCUGGAUCUCCACAGAGGGGGGCUGGAAUGCCUUGCGGAACAAUGCCCCGGGCUCCCGAGAGCAGAGGAUGAAGGGCAGCCGAGUUUGAUAACCACAUUAAAGCACUACCAACAUCUGUUCAAGCCAAAGACAACACUAUCUCCAGGAAUUAACCUUCUGAACCACUGAAUCGUUACCCUCAGCAGAGUGAAAGUUGGACAACAAGAGCCUAUUUGUCAGUGGUUCCUCAGAGAGACACGGUAAAGCCAUAUUUUACUGCAAACAGCGUGAGACGGCCCGACUCGGCUUUAUACAUUUUAAACACGGAAUAUAUUUGUGUGGGAAACAAGCAGACAAUGAACAUAAAUAAACUUUUGAUGAUACCUUGCAACUUGCAGCGUUUAUGCCACCUCGGAACAAGUGGACCGUGGCGCAUUGCCCCAGAGAUUCGAAUAUCCUGGGUUUGUUUGUUUCCCCCUUAUUUUGAUGAAACGUCAGGUGUCAAUGAUGAGAGUAUUAACAGUAUGCAAGAUGCACUUUGCAUUAAUAGAAAAGAAAUAGAAUUUACUAUAAGUAAUAAUAACUAGUUGGAUGGGCUGUGUGAAGCUGGAUCAGAUGGAGAGGGAGGCAAGGAGGAUGGAAAGGGAAAAUCUAAUGAAAUAAAAUUUUUAGAAUGGAAACCAGCACAGACAGCCUGUCAUCAAGACUUGGAAGACUCUGGAAUUUGGAGGUAUAUUUCUCACAGGGAAGACUGUCUGCAGCUUCUACUCUGAUAGUUGUUAUUUUUAUUUUUACUCUGAUAGGUUUUAAGCCUUGCACCACACUAAUUCAAAGGUCCAUCUGCUGCAGCUUUUAUUUUCUGAUACAUUCUUAAUUGCAAUUAAUAGGCUUUUAUGCCAAGUCUGUCUCAGAAGACUGAGAUUAAACGGAGCUUUGUCCUCAGAUUAGUGCCUGAAACAUAUAAAACUUUAGAUGCAGGAUGCUCUCGUCUAGCUGUUCUACCAACAUGGUCCAUGUGCUCUGGGGGUUUCCAGGACCCUUCAAGGGAGUUUAUGAGACCAAUACUUUUUAUAAUAAUACGAAGACCUUAUAAGCCUUUUCCACUGUGUUGACAUUUGCUCUGAAGGUGCAGAAGCAGUGGUAGAGAAAAUUUCUGGCAUGUCAGCAUGAAUCAAGGCAGUGGCACCAAGCUGUACUAGCAGACAUUGUACUCUUCACUGCCAAGCACUC
Molecule: long non-coding RNA, 3375 nt
Filed under: Sus scrofa (pig)
Lineage: Eukaryota; Metazoa; Chordata; Mammalia; Artiodactyla; Suidae
Description: lncRNA (ENSSSCG00000053457.1)
Source: RNAcentral